GACGAACGCUGGCGGCGUGCUUAACACAUGCAAGUCGAACGGAAAGGCCCUGCUUUUGUGGGGUGCUCGAGUGGCGAACGGGUGAGUAACACGUGAGUAACCUGCCCUUGACUUUGGGAUAACUUCAGGAAACUGGGGCUAAUACCGGAUAGGAGCUCCUGCUGCAUGGUGGGGGUUGGAAAGUUUCGGCGGUUGGGGAUGGACUCGCGGCUUAUCAGCUUGUUGGUGGGGUAGUGGCUUACCAAGGCUUUGACGGGUAGCCGGCCUGAGAGGGUGACCGGCCACAUUGGGACUGAGAUACGGCCCAGACUCUUACGGGGGGAAGCAGUGGGAAAUAUUGCACAAUGGGCGGAAGCCUGAUGCAGCAACGCCGCGUGCGGGAUGACGGCCUUCGGGUUGUAAACCGCUUUCGCCUGUGACGAAGCGUGAGUGACGGUAAUGGGUAAGAAGCACCGGCUAACUACGUG
RNAcentral lists this ribosomal RNA (467 nucleotides) under uncultured bacterium. RNAcentral describes it as "partial 16S ribosomal RNA". It matches the Rfam family "Bacterial small subunit ribosomal RNA", at positions 28 to 507 of the family's 1533-position model. The record is from RNAcentral.